RNAcentral lists this ribosomal RNA (253 nucleotides) under uncultured bacterium. RNAcentral's name for it is "partial 16S ribosomal RNA". It matches the Rfam family "Bacterial small subunit ribosomal RNA", at positions 524 to 776 of the family's 1533-position model. The record is from RNAcentral.
UACGAAGGGGGCUAGCGUUGCUCGGAAUCACUGGGCGUAAAGGGUGCGUAGGCGGGUUUUUAAGUCAGGGGUGAAAUCCUGGAGCUCAACUCCAGAACUGCCUUUGAUACUGAAGUUCUUGAGUCCGGGAGAGGUGAGUGGAACUGCGAGUGUAGAGGUGAAAUUCGUAGAUAUUCGCAAGAACACCAGUGGCGAAGGCGGCUCACUGGCCCGGUACUGACGCUGAGGCACGAAGGCCAGGGGAGCAAACGGG